UCAACCAUAGUUCGCUUUGGAAACUGUCAAACUUGAGUGCAGAAGGGGAGAGUGGAAUUCCAUGUGUAGCGGUGAAAUGCGUAGAUAUAUGGAGGAACACCGGUGGCGAAAGCGGCUCUCUGGUCUGUAACUGACGCUGAGGCUCGAAAGCGUGGGGAGCGAACAGGAUUAGAUACCCUGGUAGUCCACGCCGUAAACGAUGAGUGCUAGGUGUUGGAUCCUUUCCGGGAUUCAGUGCCGCAGCUAACGCAUUAAGCACUCCGCCUGGGGAGUACGACCGCAAGGUUGAAACUCAAAGGAAUUGACGGGGGCCCGCACAAGCGGUGGAGCAUGUGGUUUAAUUCGGAGCAACGCGAAGAACCUUACCAGGUCUUGACAUCCCGAUGCUAUUUCUAGAGAUAGAAAGUUACUUCGGUACAUCGGUGACAGGUGGUGCAUGGUUGUCGUCAGCUCGUGUCGUGAGAUGUUGGGUUAAGUCCCGCAACGAGCGCAACCCCUAUUGUUAGUUGCCAUCAUUCAGUUGGGCACUCUAGCGAGACUGCCGGUAAUAAACCGGAGGAAGAUGGGGAUGACGUCAAAUCAUCAUGCCCCUUAUGACCUGGGCUACACACGUGCUACAAUGGUUGGUACAACGAGUUGCGAGUCGGUGACGGCAAGCUAAUCUCUUAAAGCCAAUCUCAGUUCGGAUUGUAGGCUGCAACUCGCCUACAUGAAGUCGGAAUCGCUAGUAAUCGCGGAUCAGCACGCCGCGGUGAAUACGUUCCCGGGCCUUGUACACACCGCCCGUCACACCACGAGAGUUUGUAACACCCGAAGUCGGUGAGGUAACCUUUUGGAGCCAGCCGCCUAAGGUGGGAUAGAUGAUUGGGGUGAAGUCGUAACAAGGUAGCCGUAUCGGAAGG
RNAcentral lists this ribosomal RNA (902 nucleotides) under uncultured Streptococcus sp. Its description in RNAcentral is "bacterial SSU rRNA". It matches the Rfam family "Bacterial small subunit ribosomal RNA", at positions 609 to 1512 of the family's 1533-position model. The record is from RNAcentral. Lineage: Bacteria; Bacillati; Bacillota; Bacilli; Lactobacillales; Streptococcaceae.